UUGAACGCUGGCGGCAGGCCUAACACCUGCCAGUCGAACGGUAACAGGAAGAAGCUUGCUUCUUUGCUGACGAGUGGCGGACGGGUGAGUAAUGUCUGGGAAACUGCCUGAUGGAGGGGGAUAACUACUGGAAACGGUAGCUAAUACCGCAUAACGUCGCAAGACCAAAAAGGGGGACCUUCGGGCCUCUUGCCAUCGGAUGUGCCCAGAUGGGAUUAGCUAGUAGGUGGGGUAACGGCUCACCUAGGCGACGAUCCCUAGCUGGUCUGAGAGGAUGACCAGCCACACUGGAACUGAGACACGGUCCAGACUCCUACGGGAGGCAGCAGUGGGGAAUAUUGCACAAUGGGCGCAAGCCUGAUGCAGCCAUGCCGCGUGUAUGAAGAAGGCCUUCGGGUUGUAAAGUACUUUCAGCGGGGAGGAAGGGAGUAAAGUUAAUACCUUUGCUCAUUGACGUUACCCGCAGAAGAAGCACCGGCUAACUCCGUG
RNAcentral lists this ribosomal RNA (489 nucleotides) under uncultured bacterium. RNAcentral's name for it is "partial 16S ribosomal RNA". It matches the Rfam family "Bacterial small subunit ribosomal RNA", at positions 30 to 507 of the family's 1533-position model. The record is from RNAcentral.